GAUGAAGAACGUAGUGAAAUGCGAUAAGUAAUGUGAAUUGCAGAAUUCAGUGAAUCAUCGAAUCUUUGAACGCACCUUGCGCCCUUUGGCUAUUCCGAAGGGCAUGCCUGUUUGAGUAUCGUGAACACCUCAACUCUCAUGGUUUGCCAUGAUGAGCUUGGACUUUGGGGGUUUUGCUGGCCUUUGGUCGGCUCCUCUCAAACGGAUCAGCUUUCCAGUGUUUGGUGGCGUCACGGGUGUGAUAACUAUCUACGCCUGUGGUUUUCUGCCAGAUAACCUACAGCGAUGGAGGUUCGCUGGGGCUCAUAAAUGUCUCUCUUCAGUGGAGACAGCUUUUUGGACGUUUGAUCUCAAAUCAGGUAGGACUACCCGCUGAACUUAAGCAUAUCAAUAAGCGGAGGA
Molecule: unclassified non-coding RNA, 402 nt
Filed under: soil metagenome
Description: partial contains 5.8S ribosomal RNA, internal transcribed spacer 2, and large subunit ribosomal RNA
Rfam family: 5.8S ribosomal RNA (bases 1-121)
Source: RNAcentral